CGGUGCAUAUCCAAAAGCGGAGGAAAAGAAACCAACAGGGAUUGCCUCAGUAACGGCGAGUGAAGCGGCAAAAGCUCAAAUUUGAAAUCUAGCACCUUCGGUGUUUGAGUUGUAAUUUGAAGAUGGUAACCUUGGGUUUGGCUCUUGUCUAUGUUCCUUGGAACAGGACGUCAUAGAGGGUGAGAAUCCCGUCUGAUGAGAUGCCCAUUCCUAUGUAAGGUGCUAUCGAAGAGUCGAGUUGUUUGGGAAUGCAGCUCUAAGUGGGUGGUAAAUUCCAUCUAAAGCUAAAUAUUGGCGAGAGACCGAUAGCGAACAAGUACAGUGAUGGAAAGAUGAAAAGAACUUUGAAAAGAGAGUGAAAAAGUACGUGAAAUUGUUGAAAGGGAAGGGCAUUAGAUCAGACUUGGUGUUUUACGAUUAUCUUCUCUUCUUGAGUUGUGCACUCGUAUUUCACUGGGCCAGCAUCGAUUCGGAUGGCAAGAUAAUGGCAGUUGAAUGUGGCUUCACUUCGGUGGAGUGUUAUAGCUUCUGCUGAUAUUGCCUGUCUGGAUCGAGGGCUGCGUCUUUGACUAGGAUGCUGCGUAUACUGAGG
This 592-nucleotide ribosomal RNA is filed under the name Hansenula anomala. RNAcentral's name for it is "Wickerhamomyces anomalus partial large subunit ribosomal RNA". It matches the Rfam family "Eukaryotic large subunit ribosomal RNA", at positions 34 to 639 of the family's 3401-position model. Lineage: Eukaryota; Fungi; Ascomycota; Saccharomycetes; Phaffomycetales; Wickerhamomycetaceae. The record is from RNAcentral.